Molecule: ribosomal RNA, 460 nt
Filed under: uncultured bacterium
Lineage: Bacteria
Description: partial 16S ribosomal RNA
Rfam family: Bacterial small subunit ribosomal RNA
Source: RNAcentral
CCUACGGGUGGCAGCAGUGAGGAAUAUUGGUCAAUGGGCGCGAGACUGAACCAGCCAAGUCGCGUGAGGGAGGACGGCCCUACGGGUUGUAAACCUCUGUUGCCGGGGAGCAACGGGCGCCACGUGUGGCGUCACUGAGAGUACCCGGAGAAAAAGCAUCGGCUAACUCGGGCCCAGCAGCCGAGGUAAUAGGAAGGAGGCGAGCUUUAUCCGGAUUAAUUGGGUUUACAGGGUGCGUAGGCGAAUGGUUAAGUCAGUGGUCAAAUUGAGGGGCUCAACCCCUUCCCGCCAUUGAAACUGGCGUUCUUGAGUGGAAGAGAAGUAUGCGGAAUGCGUGGUGUAGCGGUGAAAUGCAUAGAUAUCACGCAGAACCCCGAUUGCGAAGGCAGCAUGCCGGCUUCCGACUGACGCUGAAGCACGAAAGCGUGGGGAUCGAACAGGAUUAGAUACCCUGGUAGUC